AGAGUUUGAUCCUGGCUCAGGAUGAACGCUGGCGGCGUGCCUAAUACAUGCAAGUCGAGCGGCAGCGCAAGGGUGCUUGCACCCUGGCGGCGAGCGGCGGACGGCUGAGUAACGCGUAGGAACGUACCCCGAAGUGAGGGAUAAGCACCAGAAAUGGUGUCUAAUACCGCAUGUGCUCUAAGGAGUAAAGCCUCGGCGCU
Molecule: ribosomal RNA, 200 nt
Filed under: uncultured bacterium
Lineage: Bacteria
Description: partial 16S ribosomal RNA
Rfam family: Bacterial small subunit ribosomal RNA
Source: RNAcentral